RNAcentral lists this transfer RNA (82 nucleotides) under Ixodes scapularis (black-legged tick). It matches the Rfam family "tRNA". From Rfam's summary of the family: Transfer RNA (tRNA) molecules are approximately 80 nucleotides in length. Their secondary structure includes four short double-helical elements and three loops (D, anti-codon, and T loops). The record is from Rfam by way of RNAcentral. Lineage: Eukaryota; Metazoa; Arthropoda; Arachnida; Ixodida; Ixodidae.
GCAGUCGUGGCCGAGUGGUUAAGGCAAUGGACUAGAAAUCCAUUGGGGUCUCCUCACACAGGUUCAAAUCCUGUCCACUGCG